Molecule: non-coding RNA, 131 nt
Organism: Pelobates cultripes (western spadefoot toad)
Lineage: Eukaryota; Metazoa; Chordata; Amphibia; Anura; Pelobatidae
Source: the annotation of a GenBank genome assembly
CACACACAGCAGUGUGUGUGUGUGUGUGUAUGUGUAUAUAUAUAUAUAUAUAUAUAUAUAUAUAUAUAUAUAUAUAUAUAUACACACACAUACAUAUAUAUAUAUAUACAUACACACACGCAGCGUGUAUU